RNAcentral lists this long non-coding RNA (1125 nucleotides) under Astyanax mexicanus (Mexican tetra). RNAcentral's name for it is "lncRNA (ENSAMXG00005002146.1)". The record is from RNAcentral. Lineage: Eukaryota; Metazoa; Chordata; Actinopteri; Characiformes; Acestrorhamphidae.
UUCUGAUGGCUGUGUGUUUAUUCCUGUUCCUGCUAUUGCAGCAUGUUCACUCUCUGCCUUUGUCGCAAGUGGUUAUGGGAAAUGUAGGCAGUGAUAGUAACAGUGAUAGUGGGGAGAUUUUUCCUGUCCUCCAUUCGCUACUUUCUCAGAUUCAGAUGCAGAUUCAGAAUUCCCGCCCUAUCGCUCCGGUUCAAAAUGCUGGAAUUCCGAAUGUGCCACAGGUUCCUGUUGCUGUGAUCCCGAUCCCAGCCAAUAAUCCUGUUUUUCACUCACAACCCCUUGUUCCUGCCCUGCCCGGGGAACUGCUGAAUCCAUUUUACCCUGAAAUACACCCCUUCUCUCUGCCUUCACCUGCUCUUGGUCCUAUUGAUCCAGUUUUCUCCCAACCAGGACUGUCCCAGCCUCUGCCUAACCCUUUCCCCCAACUGACUGGGCUUCCUUCUCCUUUUGAUCCCCUCCCACCCUAUUUCUUCCCCCCUCAAUCAGGGCUACCUUCGUUUGUAGCCCCUCCCCCUCUUCCCAUUCCAGGAAGUCCCUUCCCCUCUUUGACCAAUCCGCUUACUUCUUCACUGUAUGGCAACCAGCCAAUUACGAUUGAUGUUCGGGAGCUUCUAAGGCAACAAGGUUCCACCCCUGGUAAUCGAUCAGCCAUAGUCAAUAUUCAGGAUAUUAUAAGGCAACAAGGAUCCAUCCCUGGCAACCAGCCAAUUUCAAUUGAUGUUCGGGAACUUCUACGGCAACAACGAGCCAACCCUGGAAAUCAAGGAGAGUUUGUCAUACCACCAAUGAUAAAUGGUGUAUCACAGGGAUCACCAUUCCAAAUGCCAAACAUUCCUUCUCUGCAGCUGCAGCAAGCAGAUGACGCACCCACUGAGCCAGCCAAUCAGGAAGCAGAUGGCAAUAUGGAUACAGAGCAGGAGUUUGCACCAUGCUCCACAGCAGAGUGUCAUGAAACUGGGCAGCCAUUUGAGGGCAAUACACUUCCUUAUUAGUGACUCACUGAGCCAGACUGCAGUACUUUUGUGUGUUUGAUGAAUGGUGAGAUUGUACUAAUUUUCUUGAAAAAUAUGUUAUGAAUCUGAUUCGUAUCUCUGUACUUGUUAACUAUAUAAAUAUAUGUUGAAG